GUUGAGGUCUAUCCCGAUGGGGCUUCUUCUGUAGCCACUUGUCGUUGGAAACGCCUCAUAGAGCAACUCUAUGGUUUUGCUUUACUCAUAGGACUAUAUGUUAGGCCUGUGGGAAGGAACUACCAGACAAUU
Sciurus vulgaris (Eurasian red squirrel) is the source of this 132-nucleotide small nucleolar RNA. NCBI's taxonomy places the organism in Eukaryota, Metazoa, Chordata, Mammalia, Rodentia, Sciuridae. The record is from Ensembl.